UAUUUCUUACCUAUUUUCUCUUCCAAUAUGUCACUUUCAUCUGUUUCUGAUCCAAGAAACCAAGGUUGCAAAUAAGUCAUGUUACAAGCAGAAUGAAGGUGGGUCAAAGUACGGAUACUGUCACGUGGAGAAUGGUACCCACAUGCCCUGCAAAGCCAAGUGUGCAUUAAUGCAGAGUGUGUGGACAUGGAGAAGACAUACAAGUCAGCCAACUGCUCCUCCAAGUGCAAAGGCCACGCAACUUCUCAACCGUGGUUGGUGUGUUCUUCCCCAUGGCAGUCAUAUUUGUGGUGAUUGCUAUAGUGAUCUAUCACCAAAGUGCCAGAAGAAAACAAAGGAGAGUUCAGAGGCUACCACCCAUCAAGGAUGCCAAGCUACACAGGCAGAAGUGUAGACCCCAAAAGGUAAG
This 409-nucleotide long non-coding RNA is filed under the name Rattus norvegicus (Norway rat). RNAcentral's name for it is "long non-coding RNA NONRATT032150". Lineage: Eukaryota; Metazoa; Chordata; Mammalia; Rodentia; Muridae. The record is from RNAcentral.